GGCGCUCAAAAUUGGAACGUUGGACAAGCCAUAAGGAGAGGGAUUUCAAUAUCAACAGUAAGUCGUCAUCUUCCCUGAAGUUUAAAGAAAUUAAUAAGAAUAGUAAUGGCAGAACGUUAGAGACCAGCAAAAUUCCAGAGGAACCUGCUACAGCAGUUGAGCCUGUUGAUAAGCAAAGCCCCAUGGCUGAUAAGAAAGAUGGUAGUAAUCCUGAGAAUACAAAACCAGUGGACGAUCGGCACCUUGACACAGUUGAGAAGCUGAAGAAGCGAAGUGAGCGAUUCAAGCUCCCAAUGCCAAGUGAGAAGGAUACGUUGGCAAUAAAGAAAAUGGAGAGUGAACCUCUACCUUCUACCAAAAGUGAGACUGCUGCAGGCUCAGAAAUCAAACAGGAGCGGCCAGCCCGGAAACGAAGGUGGAUCAGUAACUAAAGUUGGGAAAAGUUAUUCCCCGCACUAUUUUUGAAUUAUUGAACCCUGAAGUUGUUAUCAUGCCCCAUGCUUUGAAAUGGCUUAAAUAGGGUUCUUAGGAUAUGCAAUGUACCUCAGCUAUAGUUUUAUAAUUUUGUAACCAUGCAGCCACCAUAUAACUUUUUAUAUUAUGUGUAUAUACAAUGGGGAUUGUAACUCUGUAACUGGUCACUAGUGGUGGCACAGAGAAUUGCUUUUAGUGUUAAUUUGAAUUGUAUUACCCAGAUUUAGUCUGGGUGCUUGGAGGCUCAGUCCUGUACUGUACCUGCAAAUUCUGCUAACAGAGAAUUGUUGUUGUAUGGAAUGGAGGCCGGCGCUGUCAGAGGCGAGGCUUUAGCUUGAUGUUGACAACUUCCUCAGUUGUGAGGUUCAAAGAAAUUCUGUAACUGAUGGAUGAUCUAGGUGAAGACGAAACUCUCCGCAAUGUAAGAGUAGGAAGUAGGAACAUCAAGAUUGAUAUGAAUGAUUCAUCUUCCUUGUAUCUGUAGUUUGUUAGAAAUUACGACCAUUUUUGUUUUUUUGUUUUUGCCCUUUUACUUAGUUUUGGCGGGAUGCCACAACAGGUUGAAACACAUAUCGAAAUCGAAUGUUGGUUCGGGUCAGUCCAUUUUGUUGUACUAAGAGAAAAAAUUGAGUUAUAUUGAAGGUAAAGAAACAAUAUUUCAGUCACUGACCUCUUCUUCCCAUGUUGAAUGAAUUGUUAGCAAAAUGUGAUUCAUUAACCAGAAUACCAACCUUACUGCUAUUUAAGGCUUCAAUAUUCGGGUUCGGGGCACGCUGAAUCCUGAAGGAGGUGUUAAACGGGUCGGUCAAAUUUAGGUGCAACACACGAGUCACAUUGAAUGUAUGAUAAUAAUAAUACAUUUACAUUAAUUUUACUACUGCUGUACGGCCAAGGCGGAUGUACGGUACAGCAGUUUGGUUUUCUUUUUGGGGAUUUUAAGAUUUUGGUUUUUUGUUUAUUGACCAUUGGCGUCCAUUCAAGAAUUUUUCUGUAGCUUUAGAAAGUUGAAUGUUGCUUGAGUACUGAAAAUUAGUGCCUUUUCUUUUUCUUUUUUUUUCCAAUCAUUAAUGAGUACUAGAGGUUUUUAAAAUAUAUGAUUGUUGCUUUGCUUUGGUUUUUAAUUGGGAUUCUUGCUUUUGGUUUUUGCAGGUUUUGGGUUUUUAUCAGCUUAUGAAUUACGAAAUUGUGGGAAUGAGAAACCGGUCCACGGUAACUCUUCCAGAAAAGAGAAGGAAGAAGCUUCCUCAGAUGACGAACAGCAAGACUCAAGGAGAGGGCGCUCAAAAUUGGAACGUUGGACAAGCCAUAAGGAGAGGGAUUUCAAUAUCAACAGUAAGUCGUCAUCUUCCCUGAAGUUUAAAGAAAUUAAUAAGAAUAGUAAUGGCAGAACGUUAGAGACCAGCAAAAUUCCAGAGGAACCUGCUACAGCAGUUGAGCCUGUUGAUAAGCAAAGCCCCAUGGCUGAUAAGAAAGAUGGUAGUAAUCCUGAGAAUACAAAACCAGUGGACGAUCGGCACCUUGACACAGUUGAGAAGCUGAAGAAGCGAAGUGAGCGAUUCAAGCUCCCAAUGCCAAGUGAGAAGGAUACGUUGGCAAUAAAGAAAAUGGAGAGUGAACCUCUACCUUCUACCAAAAGUGAGACUGCUGCAGGCUCAGAAAUCAAACAGGAGCGGCCAGCCCGGAAACGAAGGUGGAUCAGUAACUAAAGUUGGGAAAAGUUAUUCCCCGCACUAUUUUUGAAUUAUUGAACCCUGAAGUUGUUAUCAUGCCCCAUGCUUUGAAAUGGCUUAAAUAGGGUUCUUAGGAUAUGCAAUGUAC
This 2292-nucleotide long non-coding RNA is filed under the name Citrus sinensis (sweet orange). Its description in RNAcentral is "long non-coding RNA (CSIN_LNC001553)". The record is from RNAcentral. Lineage: Eukaryota; Viridiplantae; Streptophyta; Magnoliopsida; Sapindales; Rutaceae.